CCUACGGGGGGCAGCAGUAGGGAAUAUUGCUCAAUGGGGGAAACCCUGAAGCAGCAACGCCGCGUGGAGGAUGAAGGUUUUCGGAUUGUAAACUCCUUUUGUUAGAGAAGAUAAUGACGGUAUCUAACGAAUAAGCACCGGCUAACUCCGUGCCAGCAGCCGCGGUAAUACGGCGGGUGCAAGCGUUACUCGGAAUCACUGGGCGUAAAGGGCGCGUAGGCGGGAUAGCAAGGCAGAUGUGAAAUCCUAUGGCUUAACCAUAGAACUGCAUUUGAAACUGUUAUUCUAGAGUAUGGGAGAGGUAGGUGGAAUUCGUGGUGUAGGGGUAAAAUCCGUAGAGAUCAAGAGGAAUACUCAUUGCGAAGGCGACCUGCUAGAACAUAACUGACGCUGAUGCGCGAAAGCGUGGGGAGCAAACAGGAUUAGAUACCCGAGUAGUC
This 440-nucleotide ribosomal RNA is filed under the name uncultured bacterium. RNAcentral's name for it is "partial 16S ribosomal RNA". It matches the Rfam family "Bacterial small subunit ribosomal RNA", at positions 338 to 795 of the family's 1533-position model. The record is from RNAcentral.